GAACCCGUGGCCUAGUUGGAUAGGGCAGCUGCCUCCUAAGCAGCAGGUCGGGAGUCCGAAUCUCCCCGGGUUCGCCA
RNAcentral lists this transfer RNA (77 nucleotides) under subsurface metagenome. Its description in RNAcentral is "tRNA-Arg". It matches the Rfam family "tRNA". From Rfam's summary of the family: Transfer RNA (tRNA) molecules are approximately 80 nucleotides in length. Their secondary structure includes four short double-helical elements and three loops (D, anti-codon, and T loops). The record is from RNAcentral.